Molecule: long non-coding RNA, 399 nt
Filed under: Prunus persica (peach)
Lineage: Eukaryota; Viridiplantae; Streptophyta; Magnoliopsida; Rosales; Rosaceae
Description: long non-coding RNA (PPER_LNC005210)
Source: RNAcentral
UUUUUAGAGAAAUCGAAUCGCUAAAACUAUGCAAUUCACCAACCACUCCAUUUACAGAAUGAACUUAUUACGAAUUCGAAUUGUCAAAUUUCUUGGUUCAAUCAAUAUCGGAUUGAGCCCAAAACAUGGGCAACAUCAUAAUAUGAAUAGAGGAGUGAAAUGGUGUGUUUUGAGUGAAAUCCAAUCGCUAAAACUAUGCAAUACACCAACCACUCCAGUUACGGAACGAACUUGGUAUGAACUUGAAUUGUCCAAUUUGUCGGUUCAAUCGAUAUUGGAUUUAGCCCAAAAGUUAGGCAACAAUAUAAUAUGGUGGGAGGAGUCAGUCACUGAGUUUUGAGUGAAAUCCAAAAGCUAAAACUAGGCAAUACACUAACCACUCCAUUUACGGAAUGAAUU